RNAcentral lists this ribosomal RNA (428 nucleotides) under uncultured bacterium. Its description in RNAcentral is "bacterial SSU rRNA". It matches the Rfam family "Bacterial small subunit ribosomal RNA", at positions 355 to 776 of the family's 1533-position model. The record is from RNAcentral.
UGGGGAAUCUUGCGCAAUGGACGAAAGUCUGACGCAGCGACGCCGCGUGUGUGAUGAAGGCCUUCGGGUUGUAAAGCCCUGUGGGGAGAGACGAAUAAGUUCAGGCUAAUACCCUGCAUGAUGACGGUAUCUCCUUAGCAAGCACCGGCUAACUCUGUGCCAGCAGCCGCGGUAAGACAGAGGGUGCAAACGUUGUUCGGAAUUACUGGGCGUAAAGCGUGUGUAGGCGGCCAUGUAAGUCGGAUGUGAAAGCCCCAGGCUCAACCUGGGAAGUGCAUUCGAUACUGCGUGGCUUGAGUAUCGGAGAGGUGGGUGGAAUUCUCGGUGUAGAGGUGAAAUUCGUAGAUAUCGAGAGGAACACCGGUGGCGAAGGCGGCCAACUGGACGAAUACUGACGCUGAGACACGAAAGCGUGGGGAGCAAACAGG